This 392-nucleotide ribosomal RNA is filed under the name uncultured microorganism. RNAcentral describes it as "bacterial SSU rRNA". It matches the Rfam family "Archaeal small subunit ribosomal RNA", at positions 330 to 720 of the family's 1478-position model. The record is from RNAcentral.
GUGCAGCAGUCGCGAAAACUUCACAAUGUGCGAAAGCACGAUGAGGGAAUCCCAAGUGCUUGCUCGUAAGAGUAAAGCUGUUUCUCUGUCUAAAACGCAGAGAGAGUAAGGGCUGGGUAAGACGGGUGCCAGCCGCCGCGGUAGUACCUGCAGCUCGAGUGGUGGCCGCUAUUAUUGGGCCUAAAACGGUCCGUAGCCGGUUUAUUAAAUGCCUGGGGUAAAUCGGACCGCUUAACGGUUCGAAUUCCGGGUAGACUGAUAAACUUGAGACCGGGAGAAGCUAGAGGUACUCCUGGGGUAGAGGUGAAAUUCUGUAAUCCUAGGGGGACCACCAGUGGCGAAGGCGUCUAGCUAGAACGGGUCUGGCGGUGAGGGACGAAGCCCUGGGGCGC